CACCCGAUCUUCAACCUCAACUCAGGCUCUUUGUGCAGUGUCACAGUCCCACUCCCCUCUCUCCCAGACCGUGGCACAAUUCUAAUAGAAUGCUUUUCUCUCAUGUUAAGGUGCUCUGAGUGGAAGCACUGUCCACUGUUCUCAAGUGGUUUAUGAAAGAUGGAGCAUGGAUCUGAGGAAUAUAGAAGAUGUUGCCUUUGUAGAUGUUUGUCAUAAGAGUCUACACUUUUUUCAUCUAGUGGCUUUCCUCACCAAGCAAUCUUGGUGAUCAGGGCAAAUUCUUUUCAUUAAAAUCAAUGUCUCAUCCACUGGGGUAAUUUGCUCAUUAGAUUAAGUUGCCAAUGGCAGCUUUUCUGGAGUUGAGGGAGAGAAAUAAUUUCUUUUAAAUAAGUACCUCAAAGGAUGAGCAGGUGCAAGCAUGAUGGGAGGUUUCAGGCUGGUCAUUUGCAGAAUUCCUAUUCCUUUUAGUCUUUCUAAUUCCAGGUGCAGCUAACACAGUGAGAGUCGGAUGUACAGUGACCCCACAGAGUCUGAUUCACCUGCUCAUAUGCUGCUCUCUCAAUGGUUUGCAUGGAUAUUUGUUGGAGGUGCCCCGAUGGAGACCUAUGAGUGGUGGAGAGAAGUUAGCAAAAAGAAAUCAGAAGAGGAAGAAAAAAUAUUGGAAUGUACUUACACGGUGGUGCGCUGAAUGUGACUGUUGGGACCACGAGAGUGUUUGUUUCACUGUGCCUUUACUCAUUGUGCAAUUGUUUUAUUAUUAGUAUAUUUUAUUAUAA
Chiroxiphia lanceolata (lance-tailed manakin) is the source of this 776-nucleotide long non-coding RNA. RefSeq lists it as uncharacterized. The record is from RefSeq and is a predicted model, not a curated record. The transcript is spliced from 3 exons. NCBI's taxonomy places the organism in Eukaryota, Metazoa, Chordata, Aves, Passeriformes, Pipridae.